Molecule: ribosomal RNA, 379 nt
Filed under: uncultured bacterium
Lineage: Bacteria
Description: bacterial SSU rRNA
Rfam family: Bacterial small subunit ribosomal RNA
Source: RNAcentral
CACGCCGUAAACGAUGUCUACUAGGUUGCGGGAGUUCUGAUGCUCUCGCGGCCGAAGCAAAAGUGUUAAGUAGACCGCCUGGGGAGUACGGUCGCAAGGCUAAAACUCAAAGGAAUUGACGGGGGCGUCACACAAGCGGUGGAGCAUGUGGAUUAAUUCGAAGCAACGCGCAGAACCUUACCUAGGUUUGACAUGCUUGGAUGCCUUAUUGGAAACAGUGUAGGCUGCCCGCAAGGGUGAAACUUGCACAGGUGCUGCAUGGCUGUCGUCAGCUCGUGUCGUGAGAUGUCGGGUUAAGUCCUUUAACGAGCGAAACCCUUGCCGUUAGUUACCAGCGGGUCAUGCCGGGAACUCUAGCGGGACUGCCGGUGUUAAACCG